GGGGGAUGAUGCUCGGAUACUGGGCGUAAGGGCGCGUAGGCGGAUCGUUAAGUCAGAGGUGAAAUCCCAGGGCUCAACCCUGGAACUGCCUUUGAUACUGGCGAUCUUGAGUAUGAGAGAGGUAUGUGGAACUCCGAGUGUAGAGGUGAAAUUCGUAGAUAUUCGGAAGAACACCAGUGGCGAAGGCGACAUACUGGCUCAUUACUGACGCUGAGGCGCGAAAGCGUGGGGAGCAAACAGGAUUAGAUACCCUGGUAGUCCACGCCGUAAACGAUGAUUGCUAGUUGUCGGGCUGCAUGCAGUUCGGUGACGCAGCUAACGCAUUAAGCAAUCCGCCUGGGGAGUACGGUCGCAAGAUUAAAACUCAAAGGAAUUGACGG
RNAcentral lists this ribosomal RNA (380 nucleotides) under Brevundimonas diminuta. Its description in RNAcentral is "bacterial SSU rRNA". It matches the Rfam family "Bacterial small subunit ribosomal RNA", at positions 533 to 916 of the family's 1533-position model. Lineage: Bacteria; Pseudomonadati; Pseudomonadota; Alphaproteobacteria; Caulobacterales; Caulobacteraceae. The record is from RNAcentral.